UCCAUUCCUCAGUCACAGGGCUAAACGAAGGGAACCGCACGGGGACACCAAGCAAAGAACCCCAGAGAGCGCCCACCGCUCCUCGAAGGUGUCAAGGGAGCCAGUGGACGCCGCCCAGAGGAACUCUGCUUGGAUGCGUGAACGGACUGAG
This is a long non-coding RNA of Dermochelys coriacea (leatherback sea turtle), 151 nucleotides long. RefSeq lists it as uncharacterized. Lineage: Eukaryota; Metazoa; Chordata; Testudines; Dermochelyidae. The record is from RefSeq and is a predicted model, not a curated record. The transcript is spliced from 3 exons.